Molecule: ribosomal RNA, 468 nt
Filed under: uncultured Comamonadaceae bacterium
Lineage: Bacteria; Pseudomonadati; Pseudomonadota; Betaproteobacteria; Burkholderiales; Comamonadaceae
Description: bacterial SSU rRNA
Rfam family: Bacterial small subunit ribosomal RNA
Source: RNAcentral
UCCUACGGGGGGCAGCAGUGGGGAAUUUUGGACAAUGGGCGCAAGCCUGAUCCAGCCAUGCCGCGUGCGGGAAGAAGGCCUUCGGGUUGUAAACCGCUUUUGUCAGGGAAGAAAUCUUCUGGGCUAAUACCUCGGGAGGAUGACGGUACCUGAAGAAUAAGCACCGGCUAACUACGUGCCAGCAGCCGCGGUAAUACGUAGGGUGCAAGCGUUAAUCGGAAUUACUGGGCGUAAAGCGUGCGCAGGCGGUUUUGUAAGAAAGAGGUGAAAUCCCCGGGCUCAACCUGGGAACUGCCUUUGUGACUGCAAGGAUUGAGUGCGGCAGAGGGGGAUGGAAUUCCGCGUGUAGCAGUGAAAUGCGUAGAUAUGCGGAGGAACACCGAUGGCGAAGGCAAUCCCCUGGGCCUGCACUGACGCUCAUGCACGAAAGCGUGGGGAGCAAACAGGAUUAGAUACCCCGGUAGUCCA